This 499-nucleotide ribosomal RNA is filed under the name uncultured bacterium. RNAcentral's name for it is "partial 16S ribosomal RNA". The record is from RNAcentral.
GUAGUUAGCCGGGGCUUUCUAAUGGGGUACCGUCAUUUUUUCGUCCCCCACAACAGAGGUUUACAAUCCGAAAACCUUCUUCCCUCACGCGGCGUUGCUGGGUCAGGCUUGCGCCCAUUGCCCAAUAUUCCCCACUGCUGCCUCCCGUAGGAGUCUGGACCGUGUCUCAGUUCCAGUGUGGCCGAUCAGCCUCUCAGCUCGGCUACCCAUCGCAGGCUUGGUGGGCUGUUAUCUCACCAACUACCUAAUGGGACGCGAACCCCUCCUUCAGCGGAUUGCUCCUUUGACCUCAUCCCGAUGCCGGGUCGUGGUCUUAUGCGGUAUUAGCAGUCGUUUCCAACUGUUGUCCCCCUCUGAAAGGCAGGUUCCUCACGCGUUACUCACCCGUUCGCCACUAAGCUAAAAUUUCCGUCCCGAAGGCUUUCCAUAAUAGCUCCGUUCGACUUGCAUGUGUUAGGCACGCCGCCAGCGUUCGUCCUGAGCCAGGAUCAAACUCUGA